GCCAGGGAGGGUGCCUCUGACUUGCCCAGACUAGUGGAACUGCAGUCUGCCACGGGAAGGGAGCUGAGCACCCUGCCCCAGGGAGGAGAAGGAGGAGGAUGACAACCAAAAUCAGGACUCACUGGAAGUUGCCAUCAUUGCACAGAGAAUCGCCUCCCUUUGUCCAGCUUCCGCCCAUGGAGACAUCUUAAAUUUGUCAUGCAAGGUCAAAACCCAAAGGCUGACAUUGGGAAAACACCCUGAAUUAAACUGCAGUCCUCCUCUGGUCUUCAAAUGAAUGAGAAGAUUUGCAUUUACAGGAUCUCAUCUGGGUUCUGUGCCACCUCCCAGGCCCAGGAAGGAAGAUGUAAAGAAGAUAAGAAUCUUGAGAUGAGAUCAUCUUGAAUUAUCCACUGGAGCUUUAAAUCCAGGGACAACAGACGCCAGAGGAGAGACAGAAAGAAGAAAAGGCCCAGAGAAAACGGGGGCAGGUUGCAGUGAAGUUGCCCACAAGGAAGUAGACGGUCACUAGGAACGGGAAGAGGCAGGAAGGGGCCCUGUCCUGGGGCCUUCAGAGUGUGCGUGGCCCUACAUACACCUUAAUUUCGGAGUUCCACCCUCCACCGCUGUGAGAGAAUGAAUUGAUGUUGUUUGAAGCCAAUUUAUUAUGGAAGCCCUAGGAAACCUCUAGGUUCUGCCACCCACAUGACCCAUUCACACGGACCUUCCCAUUUCACGAAGCAGGGGAAGAGGCACUGCUCCUUACCUGGGUCUCAGGAAUGGUGGCAGGCCUUCUGAUGCCAGCUUAUCAACAAAGCAACGAGACACAGUGCGGUCCCUUGACUUGCCCAAGGAUGCAAAGCUGCAAAGGUUGAGCAAUGACUCAAACCCAUCCCUGGCUCAUUCCCAAGCCUGUGAUCCUCGUUACGAUCACUGAGGCCUGGGGAGAGCCACAGUUGACUGCCUGCUGGAGCAAGUUUUUGUUCUACAGUUUUGACCUAAAAAAAGAAAGAAAGGAAAGAAAAGAAAGAAAGAAAAAAAGAAAGAGAGAGAGAGAAAGAGAGAAAGAAAGAGAAAGAUUGCCAAAUGACAAACAGCCUGAAAAAGGACAUUUCCUUGGUUGUCCUCUCAGGGAGAGGCCUCCAUGGAGACAAGAAGGGACGUGAAUUAGGAGGAAGGCGUGGGCACCCCACACAGCAAGCCCCGGGGGAGGAAGUUGGAGCCUGUGUUUCCCUGAAUGACCAGCAGAAUAUCCCCAGCUUCCAGUGCAAGCCUGGGCAGCUGCUCUCCCCCUGCAGACCCCUGAAGACCCAAGCCUCAGAAGAGCUAAGCAGGCCAAGUUAUGCUCACAGACCUGGCCUGGCCUGGCCUGUUGGAGCCUGUUUCCACUGCACAGUUCCUUUCAGAGACCAAAAACUCUAUUUUUGAAAGAAAGUAUAGCCAGGCAAGGCAGCGCAUGCCUGUAGUCCCAGUGGCUUGGGAGGCUGAGACAGGAGGAUUGCAAGUUCAAAGCCAGCCUCAGCAACUUAGCAAGGCCCUAAGUAACUUAGAAAGACCCUGUCUGUAAAUUAAAUGCAAAAAAAAAAAAAAAAGCAUAUACAUGGGAGAAAUUAAAACUUUGAAACACCUCCCUGCCACUUGGGUCAUAGGUCCCUUCAUUGGCCUCCCCAGAGGUGACAGCCAUUACCACACCCCUUGGGUUUCCUUCCAGAGGGUCUCUACAUAUAGGCAUAUAGAGCUAAAUAAACAUACCCUUUCACGCAAAUGAGAGGACCCUAUAGGCAUCCUUCCGUAUCUUUUUCCAUUUGGUAUAGCUUGAGAAUUUUGCCAUAAGAGCACACAUUUUUUUAUAACAGCUUCCAAAGUGUUCCUCUGCAUAAACUAACUGUACUUCUAUCGCCUGCUCCCCAUACAACACCUCUUAGGGUGUGUCCAAUAUUUUCUUGCUAGAAACAGUGAUGUUAUUCGGAUCUUGUACUUAUCUUCACACAUACGUAGACUGUCUCCAUAAGACCAGAUUCUAAAGUUUUCUGCUUUAAAAAGCACAUGACUUUUUAUCUAUUUGUUUGUUUUGCAGUACUGGGGAUGGGACCCAGGGCCUUGCACAUGCUAGGCAAGUGCUCUACCACUACCUUAAAAAGAAUGAUGCUCCCACACAGGAGUCAAACACGUGAAAGAGGGUUCAGACACAAGGAAGAACAGAAUCCAAGGACAAGGAAGGAGCCUGACUUAUUUGAGGAAGUGAAAAUAGCAAGCUAUGGGGACUGGCCCCACAGCCUCCUCCCAGAGGAGCUUGGAAAGGUUAUCAGGGGCCAGAUCAAACAGGGCCUCUUAGGCAAGAAGUCGAGUUAUUUUUCUCAUUGAAAUGGGAAGCCAUUGAAGGGCCCGAAGCACGUGAGUGGCGUGAUGCAUUCUAUGCAAUCUCUCUCUCUCUCUCUCUCUCUCUCUUUAAUUUCACAUCCGCUACAUGGGGAGUGAAUUGUAGGUGACCAAGGAUUGAAGCUCAGAGACAAGUCAGAAGACUGUCUUUUUUUUAGCUGGGAGAUGGUAAUGGUUUAGAUUGGGGCGGUGAUAAAAAUAGGAAGAGGUGGAGAGACUGCAUUUCUAUUUAGGAAGCAUGAUCCGUAAAACAGCUCUACUGAUCAAAGGACUGUCAGUUUUCUGUCUGGGUUGUGGAUGGUGGCCCAAGUGGAAGAGGCUUAGGUAGAUUCAGGUUGAGGUCAUGGGGAGAAGAAUCAAAACUCAAGUCUUAAGCAAAUUAAGUCGUAGGUGUCUAAGACACAGGAGGCAUCUAACUGGAAUCACCCAGGAGAGAGUACCUGAUGGGCUUUGACAUAUCUGUCUGCAUGAAUUCAUUUGCACUUAGGCCCAAACCCUCUGUUCUGCUCCAGGAUUUGUGGGCAUUAUCUUUUGCCCCUGUGGAAUCCGAACCUCUCAUUUCCUCUCCCUAAUUUGACUAUAAGCUCUUCAGGGGAGAAAUUGAGUGUUAAACCCUCUCAACCCCCCAGGACCACAGCACAUGCUCUCUAAGUGGGCAUGUGGCUGAGUCGAUGGCUCGCAGCAGAUUUAGCUGCAGGGAUCUCAGAAGAAAUGCCAUCAUCUGAGCUCCAACCAUAUCUAAUAGGGGUGCCAUGGGCCUGGCCAUUAGCAGGAAAGAAGAAAGCCCAAGCUCCUACCCUACUGUAAUCACAAGACCAGUUGGUGUGACCUCCAGCAUCCAGGUGACCGGACCCAGAAGAGGACUUGUUCAUGGGGAUGGGCCUCAUGCCACCUUCAGCAAAUGGAAACUAAGGAAGGUUCAGGUAAUCCCACAGAAGGUCUUACCCAUCUUCUUCCAGUAUAAAUCUCUGCUACCAACCAUCAAGAAUGUGUCAUCAAGAAAGUUGAUUGAUAUUGUUUGAGAAACUUGGCUUUAUUCACUCAUUCAUUUAUUCAUUUUUGUCUGUCCCCACAACCCGCCAUUACCUCUAUCCUCUAUCUCCAAAUUUAGUCCUUGCAAUCUGUUCCUGAUGGGGCUAUUGACAUACAAAUCUGAUCAUUCUAUCUCCCUUUUUACAAACCCUUGGUGGUUCCCACUGCUUUUUAGGUAAAAUCCCAACUCCUUCACCAAGCAAAUGUGGCCUUUUAUGAUCUGGCCUCUGCCAACAUUUUUACCAUCUUUUCCACCCCUACGCACUGAGUUCCAGACUCACGGACCAUCCCCUGUGGCCCAAACACGUCAGGCUCACACCUCAUACCUGAAGUCUUCUCGGAAAGGAUGGUACAUGCUUAAAUUAAAAACAUAAGGGAAGAUGCUAAGACUCAUCAGUCCUGAGGGGAACACAAAAUAAAAUGGAAUAUUCUUUCCCACUUGUAAAUUGGUAAUUUUUAAAAAAUUAAUAAUACGCAAUGGUUAGAGAGGGAAAAGGGGCUGUACCUUAC
Marmota monax (woodchuck) is the source of this 3900-nucleotide long non-coding RNA. RefSeq lists it as uncharacterized. The record is from RefSeq and is a predicted model, not a curated record. The transcript has 3 exons. Lineage: Eukaryota; Metazoa; Chordata; Mammalia; Rodentia; Sciuridae.